Molecule: long non-coding RNA, 1049 nt
Organism: Hemicordylus capensis (graceful crag lizard)
Lineage: Eukaryota; Metazoa; Chordata; Lepidosauria; Squamata; Cordylidae
Exons: 3
Source: RefSeq, a predicted model, not a curated record
AGUUACUGCUUGAUCCCUGGGGUCCUAGAGAUUAGUCUCCUUUGGGUUUUUUCUCUCUCUCUCCUUUGGACAGCUUUAUUACAGACGCGGGACACGAAUCCUUUUGAGGAAAAAUACGUUCUUUACUUCAGCUUGACAACUAUGAACGGAAACCCACAGAGAGCAACCUGAGAUCAACAGGAUUUGAAAGUGACAUGACUUUAUAAAAGCAGGACUGCAAUAUAAGCGAGAAAAGCCCCAUUCAAAAGCUGGCCUGGAUGAAGGAAUGGAUUAACCAAAAACACCACAGUACCUAGUAGAGGUGUUAAUGCUGGUGAUGUCUUAGACCAAGUGGAAAACCAUGGUGGAAACAAUCCUGGCGCCAUGGACAAUUGCUUUAGUGAUCUUUGCUGCAGUCCUGAUAAUGACCUUUCUUAUGUUUCUGCCUCCUGCUGUUGUGCUGAUCUGGAGAAUGAAGACAUUGUCGCAGAUCUCGUUGGAGGGAGCUGUGUAGCCCACCUCUGUGCAGGUGACUGCAUGAAUUUAGGCUCCAGGGUGUGUUUUGGUGGGUUCCACUGGAAAUACUCAAGUCUUUUCUCAUUCCAUAUAUGUGAAACGAUGGAUGCUGCUAAUUAAGAUUCUGGAUAUAAAACAACAUUGUCGAGACAUUUGAUGGCCAGUACGUGUCCUCACCUCUUUGCUCCAUUUUCCGUUUACUGAAUGAGGAGUCACCAAAGAGAAGCAAAUGGAAUUAAAAGCAAUGUGGCUCCUUUGGGCUCAAGUCAUACUGCCUUAUUGCUUAGCAUACUCCCAGCACAUCUCUCACCCCCUCCACUGUGCCUCUCACAGCUAUCAUGGUGUUUCCCUGAAGAGGCAAACGCCAUAACCAAGAUGGCAGAUGCUUCUAUGCUCGGCAGCCUGGAUCACUUCUUUAAUCCCUCUCCCUAGGUUUUGGCAGAGCCCUUUCUUGAGGUACCUCUGCAGCAAACAAUCAUUUUUGUGUGUUCUUUGUUUGGACAUGGUAGUCGGCAACAGAAGUGCAUAAAAGAAAAUGGCUUGACAGAACCUCA